RNAcentral lists this ribosomal RNA (445 nucleotides) under uncultured bacterium. RNAcentral's name for it is "bacterial SSU rRNA". It matches the Rfam family "Bacterial small subunit ribosomal RNA", at positions 354 to 796 of the family's 1533-position model. The record is from RNAcentral.
GUGAGGAAUAUUGGUCAAUGGGCGACAGCCUGAACCAGCCAUCCCGCGUGAAGGAAGAAAGCGCUAUGCGUUGUAAACUUCUUUUCCAGAGGGAUAAAAUGAUGUACGCGUACAUUACUGAAGGUACUCUGGGAAUAAGCAUCGGCUAACUCCGUGCCAGCAGCCGCGGUAAUACGGAGGAUGCGAGCGUUAUCCGGAUUUAUUGGGUUUAAAGGGUGCGUAGGCGGGACAAUAAGUCAGUGGUGAAAACCUGCAGCUUAACUGUAGACUUGCCGUUGAUACUGUUGUUCUUGAGUAUGGUCAAGGCAGGCGGAAUGUGUAAUGUAGCGGUGAAAUGCUUAGAUAUUACACAGAACACCGAUAGCGAAGGCAGCUUGCUGGGCCGUUACUGACGCUGAUGCACGAAAGCGUGGGGAUCGAACAGGAUUAGAAACCCCAGUAGUCC